This is a long non-coding RNA of Perca flavescens (yellow perch), 676 nucleotides long. RefSeq lists it as uncharacterized. The record is from RefSeq and is a predicted model, not a curated record. The transcript has 3 exons. Lineage: Eukaryota; Metazoa; Chordata; Actinopteri; Perciformes; Percidae.
GUAGUAAAUACAACACAUGCAAAUUGUUUAAAUUUUACUGCAAAUAUAUUAGUCAGUAAGCAAAUAUACAAUAAUGGGUAAAUUCUACCUACAUUACAUAUUUUAUAACAGUAACAUUUGCAGCCUAAACAAAUAUAAUAAAAUCUACCCCAAAAUGAUAAGUCUGCAGUUCAAAGUGCACAUGCGUCAGUGCUGGUUCUUGGCCAAGAUCUAUCGUUUCACUGGCGGGACACUGGAGUCAAGCUGUUCGGUUUAGUUAAGUCCCAAUGUGUCGAGAGAGAAAAAGGGAUGCAGUUGUUUGUCGCCUCAUUGAGUACCUUGGGGAACAUCAAGAAGAUCUCAUCCAAGAUUGCUAGGAUGAAAAUGAGGACAACAUGGACUAAACCAUGAAGGUGCUUGGGAUCCAUAAUCCUGCAGCCAAGGAGCAUACAGCAGAUGUGUUGAUUGCGAUGGAGGGAAACAAAGUGCUGAACGUGUGUGGAAACCGAACCAAGGCAUGUGUGCGGUUGAUGGGAUUGAUCUACGCUCUCAAACUUGAGUAUUCCAAGAACCUUGAGUAUACUUAAAGUAUUUCAGAAACUCUUUUGGUGCUUGACAGAGCAAAGCUGCUCAAGAACGUUUAGUUUGUAACUUUCUUGUGUUAUCCUCAACAGUUCUGUUAAAUGUGUAAUGUCAC